Molecule: long non-coding RNA, 485 nt
Organism: Canis lupus familiaris (dog)
Lineage: Eukaryota; Metazoa; Chordata; Mammalia; Carnivora; Canidae
Exons: 3
Source: RefSeq, a predicted model, not a curated record
CCAAGACCCUGGGAUGACAACCUGAGCCAAAGGCAGACACCCAACUGACAGAGCCACACAGAAAAAAAAUGAGGAAAUCUGUCAUGAGGAUGAUUAAAGGAAAAGCGUUGACUAUAUUAAGCCCUGCCAGCUAUUUGGCAUAUGAAGGUCCUGACCUGGGAAAACCAUCUCGGAUAACCACGCAAGGAGAGGGAAAAAUGCAACACCUAGGAGAUUUCAGUAAACAGUAGAAUCAUGCCAACCUAAUCUGUGUUAAAAUGCUUGGAAUGUGGGAGCCGCCGAUGAUGCCUGUUGUCUGUGUGUCUGACUGAAUCCUUUCUUUUCUCAGAGCAGCAAAGCCAAGCCUGGGAACCAGGCCAAAUGCCUGCCACUUACCUUAAAUUGAUCAGCCACUUUGAGAUUAAAACCCCUGAAAGCUGCCACACCGUGAAAACAAGGCCUCCUUCACAUUAAAGGCAAAUUGCGACUUUGGGUUUGCUGUGAUC